UGGGGAAUUUUGGACAAUGGGCGAAAGCCUGAUCCAGCCAUGCCGCGUGCGGGAAGAAGGCCUUCGGGUUGUAAACCGCUUUAGUCCGGGAAAAAGGGCUGACGUGCUAAUACCGCGUUGGUUUGAUGGUACUGGAAGAAUAAGCACCGGCUAACUACGUGCCAGCAGCCGCGGUAAUACGUAGGGUGCGAGCGUUAAUCGGAAUUACUGGGCGUAAAGCGUGCGCAGGCGGUCUUGUAAGACAGUCGUGAAAGCCCCGGGCUUAACCUGGGAACUGCAUUUGAAACUGGCAGGCUUGAGUCUUGUAGAGGGGGGUAGAAUUCCAGGUGUAGCGGUGAAAUGCGUAGAUAUGCGGAGGAACACCAAUGGCGAAGGCAGCCCCCUGGGUCGAUACUGACGCUCAUGCACGAAAGCGUGGGUAGCAAACA
RNAcentral lists this ribosomal RNA (428 nucleotides) under uncultured bacterium. RNAcentral's name for it is "bacterial SSU rRNA". It matches the Rfam family "Bacterial small subunit ribosomal RNA", at positions 355 to 774 of the family's 1533-position model. The record is from RNAcentral.